AGGGUGCAAGCGUUAAUCGGAAUUACUGGGCGUAAGCGAGCGUAGGUGGCUUGAUAAGUCAGAUGUGAAAUCCCCGGGCUUAACCUGGGAACUGCAUCUGAAACUGUUAGGCUAGAGUAGGUGAGAGGGAAGUAGAAUUUCAGGUGUAGCGGUGAAAUGCGUAGAGAUCUGAAGGAAUACCGAUGGCGAAGGCAGCUUCC
This 200-nucleotide ribosomal RNA is filed under the name uncultured eukaryote. RNAcentral's name for it is "partial 18S ribosomal RNA". It matches the Rfam family "Bacterial small subunit ribosomal RNA", at positions 529 to 729 of the family's 1533-position model. The record is from RNAcentral.